CCUGGCUCAGGAUGAACGCUAGCGACAGGCCUAACACAUGCAAGUCAGGGGCAGCACAAGGAGCAAUCUGAGGUGGCGACCGGCGCACGGGUGAGUAACACGUAUGCAACCUGCCUGUAAGCGGGGAAUAACCCGUUGAAAGACGGACUAAUACCGCAUAAUACUAAAUUACUGCAUGGUAAUUUAUUUAAACAUUUAUGGCUUACAGAUGGGCGUGCGCAUGAUUAGCUAGUUGGAGAGGUAACGGCUCCCCAAGGCAACGAUCAUUAGGGGUUCUGAGAGGAAGGUCCCCCACACUGGUACUGAGACACGGACCAGACUCCUACGGGAGGCAGCAGUGAGGAAUAUUGGUCAAUGGACGAGAGUCUGAACCAGCCAAGUCGCGUGCAGGAAGAAUGUUCCCUAUGGAUUGUAAACUGCUUUUGCAGGGGAAUAAAGUGCAUCACGUGUGAUGUUUUGUAUGUACUCUGCGAAUAAGGAUCGGCUAACUCCGUGCCAGCCGCCGC
This 506-nucleotide ribosomal RNA is filed under the name uncultured bacterium. Its description in RNAcentral is "bacterial SSU rRNA". It matches the Rfam family "Bacterial small subunit ribosomal RNA", at positions 18 to 518 of the family's 1533-position model. The record is from RNAcentral.